RNAcentral lists this ribosomal RNA (492 nucleotides) under uncultured bacterium. RNAcentral describes it as "partial 16S ribosomal RNA". It matches the Rfam family "Bacterial small subunit ribosomal RNA", at positions 29 to 507 of the family's 1533-position model. The record is from RNAcentral.
AGUGAACGCUGGCGGUAGGCCUAACACAUGCAAGUCGAACGGCAGCACAGUAAGAGCUUGCUCUUACGGGUGGCGAGUGGCGGACGGGUGAGGAAUACAUCGGAAUCUACUUUUUCGUGGGGGAUAACGUAGGGAAACUUACGCUAAUACCGCAUACGACCUACGGGUGAAAGCAGGGGAUCUUCGGACCUUGCGCGAUUGAAUGAGCCGAUGUCGGAUUAGCUAGUUGGCGGGGUAAAGGCCCACCAAGGCGACGAUCCGUAGCUGGUCUGAGAGGAUGAUCAGCCGCACUGGAGCGGGGACGCGGUCCAGACUCCUACGGGAGGGAGCAGUGGGGAAUAUUGGGCAAUGGGCGGGAACCUGAUCCAGCCGUACCGCGUGGGUGAAGAAGGCCUUCGGGUUGUGAAGCCCUUUUGUUGGGAAAGAAAAGCAGCAGGUUAAUACCCCGCUGUUCUGACGGUACCCAAAGAAUAAGCACCGGCUAACUUCGUG